UCUGUGAAAUAUGUAGUGUGUUAGGAAUUAAUUUUAUGCAUAUUAUAUGUGGUGCCAAUGAGGUUGAGUUCACUCUGACUGAAAAGCAGAAUAUGUAGGUAUUUUCUUUGUUCCAGGCACAAUGCAGUUCUAUUUGCUAUUUUACAAAAUUUACCUUUUAACGUAAGAAAAAGGAUGCUAUCUGCACAAUUAGGUAGAGAAAAGGCAUGCAAUGGAAGGAUGUCAUUGUUAGCCCUUACAUACAAGGCUUGUGGUUUUCCUUCUUCAUAGUCCACUUUCAGUUGCAAGAUCCUUCUAACCAGGAUGCCUUCGCUUUUGAGAGAUGAAAAGAGAAAAUGCUCAACUUCUCUAUUGCAUAUGAGAAAACUCCUGUUGGGCUGGCCCGUGAUUGGAAGUGGCGCUACCAAAGAGCAUGAAGGCAACGGGGUAUGAAAUAAUUAAUGAAGGUAAGGAAACCACUUCACUUUUGAACUUGGGCCUAAUAUAGACCCAUUGACAGGCCUAGCUCUAAUUUGCCUGUGUUAACAGACCUAAUCUACUUUUGAGGUGGGUUCCAGCCAAACUAAUUGGGUAGUGGGUUGGGUUGGAGCUAGAAAAUUGUCCAUUUAAAUAAUGGGUUAGGCUGGGGUUGAACCUACCUAAUGGAUCGAGCCAGAUGACCCUACAUAGGUUACUAAUGGGUUGAACCAGAUGACCUAUCUUGACUCCCUAAAACCCAAAACAAAAUAAAGAUCAAAAGCAUGGAUAAAUUUAUUGUCUGGACCCAAGCUCAACAUGAUUUCUUUGGUCCAAUUGAUU
Magnolia sinica is the source of this 798-nucleotide long non-coding RNA. RefSeq lists it as uncharacterized. The transcript has 3 exons. The record is from RefSeq and is a predicted model, not a curated record. NCBI's taxonomy places the organism in Eukaryota, Viridiplantae, Streptophyta, Magnoliopsida, Magnoliales, Magnoliaceae.